Molecule: long non-coding RNA, 434 nt
Organism: Cucurbita moschata (crookneck pumpkin)
Lineage: Eukaryota; Viridiplantae; Streptophyta; Magnoliopsida; Cucurbitales; Cucurbitaceae
Exons: 3
Source: RefSeq, a predicted model, not a curated record
CAAAAGAGAAAUAGUGAGAGAAACGGGUUAGAGAGAACCUAGAGAGAGGAGGAAGAAUAAACGGCCGAAAGACUCAUCAAAAACUACCGACGGAGUCCGUUCCGGUCAAGACUAUGAUGCAAGGAGCCUUUCUUGAAAGGGAAAAGAGAAUGUGGGUGGCCGGAUUCCCAUUUUCCAUCAAGAAAUCGGAAAAACCCGCGAGGAACAACUCACGCACGGUCUGUGAAGAAGUUUGGCCGAGACCUCAACCCGAAGGCGGAGAUCCGAGAGUCGUUCGAGAACGGUGUCGGUCGAGGUGGAGGAGCGUUCGAGAGCUGUGUGGUCACAGAGGGGAUCGUUCCAGAGCGUCAGUCCCUUGUCGGUCUCUUAGAGUCUUUUGUAUUUUUCUUCAUAAUUUUAUUUCCGGUUGGAAAUAUUUGAUUUUAAUUUUGUAU